AUGCUCAACAAUUUUGUUCCAAAUGUGGUGUAUCCAGAGCGAUACUUCCGACGCAAGCACAUGUUGUCUUGGGAUUUGUUCCUUCACAAUGCUAAUUGUGUGAAGCAAUAUGAUCAGUUCUUUGAGCAGGGGAGGAAUUGCAUCGGAGAUCUUGGCCAUAACACUAUCGAGAAGGUGAAUGCCACAUUGCGCAUGAUGGCAUAUGGUGUUUUGGCCGAUUUCAUUGAUAAUAACUUGACAAUGGGAAAGAGCACUUCAAUCUUGUGCGUCAAGAAAUUUGCAAAGGCGGUGGUUGAAGUGCUUGAGCAGAGUAUUUGA
RNAcentral lists this ribosomal RNA (318 nucleotides) under Triticum aestivum (bread wheat). RNAcentral describes it as "partial small subunit ribosomal RNA". Lineage: Eukaryota; Viridiplantae; Streptophyta; Magnoliopsida; Poales; Poaceae. The record is from RNAcentral.